UCCCUUCGGGGAGGGGACAGUGGCGCACGGGUGAGUAACACGUGGGUAAUUUACCUUUGGGUGGGGAACAACAGCCGGAAACGGCUGCUAAUACCGCAUAAUGCAGCGGCUCGACAUCGAGACAGUUGUUAAAGCGGGGGAUCUUCGGACCUCGCGCCUAAAGAGAAGCCCGCGGCAGAUUAGCUAGUUGGUAGGGUAAUGGCCUACCAAGGCGACGAUCUGUAACCGGCCUGAGAGGGCGGUCGGUCACACUGACACUGACAUACGGGUCAGACUCCUACGGGAGGCAGCAGUCGGGAAUUUUGGGCAAUGGGCGAAAGCCUGACCCAGCAACGCCGCGUGAAGGAUGAAGCUUUUCGGAGUGUAAACUUCACAAGAAUGGGAAGAAUAAGUUUAGGAUAAUACCCUAAGCGAUGACGGUACCAUUUGUAAGCUCCGGCUAACUCCGUGCCAGCAGCCGCGGUAAUACGGGGGGAGCAAGCGUUGUUCGGAUUUACUGGGCGUAAAGGGCGCGUAGGCGGCGCGACAAGUCACUUGCGAAAUCUCUGAGCUCAACUCAGAACGGUCAAGUGAUACUGUCGUGCUAGAGUGCGGAAGGGGCAACUGGAAUUCUUGGUGUAGCGGUGAAAUGCGUAGAUAUCAAGAGGAACACCUGCGGCGAAGGCGGGUUGCUGGGCCGACACUGACGCUGAGGCGCGAAAGCU
RNAcentral lists this ribosomal RNA (704 nucleotides) under uncultured bacterium. RNAcentral's name for it is "bacterial SSU rRNA". It matches the Rfam family "Bacterial small subunit ribosomal RNA", at positions 75 to 761 of the family's 1533-position model. The record is from RNAcentral.